CAUAUCGGAACGUACCGUGCAGUGGGGGAUAACUAAUCGAAAGAUUAGCUAAUACCGCAUAUAUUCUGAGGAAGAAAGCAGGGGACCUUCGGGCCUUGCGCUGUUUGAGCGGCCGAUAUCUGAUUAGCUGGUUGGUGGGGUAAAGGCCUACCGAGGGGACGAUCAGUAGCGGGUCUGACAGGAUGAUCCGCCACACUGGGACUGAGACACGGCCCAGACUCCUACGGGAGGCAGCAGAGGGAAUCUUCUGCGAUGGACGGAAGUCUGACCGAGCAACGCCGCGUGAGUGAAGAAGGUUUUCGGAUCGUGAAGCUCUGUUGUAAGAGAAGAACGAGUGUGAGAGUGGAAAGUUCACACUGUGACGGUAUCUUACCAGAAAGGGACGGCUAACUACGUGCCAGCAGCCGCGGUAAUACGUAGGUCCCGAGCGUUGUCCGGAUUUAUUGCGCGUAAUGCGAGCGCAGGCGUGACGAUAAGUCUGAAGUUAAAGGCUGUGGCUUAACCAUAGCACGCUUUGGAACUGUUUGACUUGAGCGCAAGAGGGGAGAGUGGAAUUCCGUGUGUAGCUGUGAAAUGCGUAGAUAUAUGGCAGGAACACCGGUGGCGAAACUGCUCUCUGGCUUGUAACUGACGCUGAGGCUCGAAGCGUGGGGAGCAAACAGGAUUAGAUACCCU
This 675-nucleotide ribosomal RNA is filed under the name uncultured bacterium. RNAcentral's name for it is "bacterial SSU rRNA". It matches the Rfam family "Bacterial small subunit ribosomal RNA", at positions 114 to 788 of the family's 1533-position model. The record is from RNAcentral.